Molecule: RNA transcript, 6728 nt
Organism: Myotis myotis
Lineage: Eukaryota; Metazoa; Chordata; Mammalia; Chiroptera; Vespertilionidae
Gene: MFHAS1
Gene name: malignant fibrous histiocytoma amplified sequence 1
Exons: 5
Source: RefSeq, a predicted model, not a curated record
CCGCUUCCCGAUCGCGCCCUCCCAGUGCCGGGGACGCGGCGCCCGCGCUCUCUCCCGGGCCCCGGGAAGCAGAGACCGGGAGGUGCCGCCGCCGCCGCCCCUCCUCCCGGCUGCACCCCGGCCCUGUGCUCGCAACAUGCCCGCCGCCGAGCCAAGCGCCGCCCUCCUCCAGGAGCUCGCGGAGGCGACGGCGCUGCGGGCCGCGGGGCCGCGGCUGCGAGGGUAGCGGAGCCGGAGCGGGCACGGAGGCGCCGCGCGGCGGGCGGAGCGGAGGAGGAGCAGCAGGCAUCCUCCGCGGCGCGCCCAUGGCCCCGGAGGUAGGAGAAUGCGAGCGGCACUCCCCGCCGGCCGCCGCCUCCCCCCGCGCCGCCGGCUCGGCGCCCCCCGGAGCUGCUCGCGUCGCCGCCGCCCCCCAGCUGCGGGCGCCCGGCCGCUGGCUGCGCUAGGACCCGCCGCCGGUCGCCGAGGGCGGGUGCGGAGAGAGGAGCGGGAGCGACCGGGAGCCUGGCGCCCGCCCGGGCGCAGCGCGGCAUGGAGCUGUGAGCUCCCGCGCCCGCGCGAGGGUGUCGGCCCGGGGCCCCGCCAUGGCUGGGAAGGACAGUGGGAACCUGAAGACGGUGAGGCUGUGGCGGGACGCCGCCCUGCGCGCCAGGAAGCUGCGGAGCAACCUGCGCCAGCUCACCCUCAGCGCGGCCGGGGGCUGCCCGGGGGUCGGGGCCGACCAGAUCGACUCCCCCGACGCCCCCCAGCUCGUGCUGCCGGCCAACAUCGGGGACAUUGAGGUGCUGAACCUGGGGAACAACGGCCUGGAGGAGGUGCCCGAGGGGCUGGGGUCGGCGCUGGGCAGCCUGCGCGUCCUGGUCCUGCGGAGGAACCGCUUUGCCCGGCUGCCCCCGGCGGUGGCCGAGUUGGGCCACCACCUCACCGAGCUGGACAUGAGCCACAACCGACUGACGGCUCUGGGCGCGGAGGUGGUGAGCGCUCUGCACGAGCUGCGCAAGCUGAACCUCAGCCACAACCAGCUGCCCGCCCUGCCCGCCCAGCUGGGCUCGCUGGCCCACCUGGAGGAGCUGGAUGUCAGCUUUAACCGCCUGGCGCACCUGCCCGACUCCCUCUCCUGCCUCUGCCGCCUGCGCACCCUCGAUGUGGACCACAAUCAGCUCACCGCUUUUCCUGGGCAGCUGCUGCAGCUGGCUGCCCUGGAGGAGCUGGACGUGUCCAGUAACCGGCUCCGAGGCCUACCUGAGGGUAUCAGUGCCCUGCGUGCCCUUAAAAUCCUCUGGCUGAGUGGGGCCGAGCUUGGCACCCUGCCUGAGGGCUUCUGUGAGCUGGCCAGCCUGGAGAGCCUCAUGCUAGACAACAACAGGCUGCAGGCUCUGCCCGCCCAGUUCAGCCAUCUGCAGAGACUCAAAAUGCUCAACCUCUCCUCCAACCUCUUUGAGGAGUUCCCUGCCGCGCUGCUGCCCCUGGCUGGCCUGGAGGAGCUCUACCUUAGUCGCAACCAGCUCACCUCAGUGCCAUCCCUGAUCUCAGGCCUGGGCCGGCUCCUCACCCUGUGGCUGGACAACAACCGGAUCCGCUACCUGCCGGACUCCAUUGUGGAGCUGACGGGCUUGGAGGAGCUCGUGCUGCAGGGCAACCAGAUCGCUGUGCUGCCGGACAACUUUGGCCAGCUCUCCCGGGUGGGCCUGUGGAAGAUCAAGGACAACCCACUGAUCCAGCCCCCCUACGAGGUCUGUAUGAAGGGGAUCCCCUACAUCGCAGCCUACCAGAAGGAGCUGGCCCACUCCCAGCCGGCAGUUCAGCCCCGCCUCAAGCUGCUCCUGAUGGGCCAUAAGGCUGCCGGGAAGACCUUGCUCCGGCACUGCCUCACUGAGGACAGAGUGGAGGCAAGUGAAGGAGGGGACAAGGACAAGGGCUACUCACCUCCACCGCCGCCCCCGAGCAAGGGCAUCGAGGUGACCAGUUGGACAGCCGACGCUUCCCGGGGCCUGCGGUUCAUUGUGUAUGACUUAGCCGGAGAUGAAAGCUACGAGGUGAUCCAGCCCUUCUUCCUCUCCCCAGGGGCCCUUUAUGUGCUGGUGGUGAACUUGGCCACCUACGAGCCACGGCGAUUUCCUACCACCGUGGGCUCCUUCUUGCAUCGGGUGGGGGCCCGCGUGCCUCACGCGGUGGUGUGCAUUGUGGGCACGCACGCAGACCUGUGUGGGGAGCGGGAGCUGGAGGAAAAGUGUCUGGACAUCCACCGCCAGAUCGCCCUGCAGGAGAAGCGCGAUGCUGAGGGGCUGAGCCGCCUGGCCCAGGUGGUGGACGAGGCGCUGGCCCGCGACUUCGAGCUGCGCUCAGCCAGCCCCCAUGCCGCGUACUAUGGUGUGUCAGACAAGAACCUUCGGCGGCGCAAGGCCCACUUCCAGUACCUGCUCAACCACCGGCUGCAGAUCCUCUCCCCGGUGCUGCCUGUGAGCUGCAGGGACCCCCGCCAGUUACAGCGCCUUCGGGACAAGCUGCUCUCGGUAGCUGAGCACCGGGAAAUCUUCCCCAACUUACACAGAGUCCUGCCCCGGUCCUGGCAGGUGCUGGAGGAACUGCAUUUCCAGCCCCCUCAGGCACAGCGGCUUUGGCUGAGCUGGUGGGACUCGGCACGCCUGGGCCUGCAGGCAGGUCUGACCGAGGACCGGCUGCAGAGCGCCCUGUCCUACCUGCACGAGAGCGGCAAACUGCUCUACUUUGAGGACAGCCCAGCCCUCAAGGAACACGUCUUCCACAACCUCACCCGCCUCAUUGACAUCCUCAAUGUCUUUUUCCAGAGGGAUCCUUCCUUGUUGCUGCAUAAGCUGCUCCUAGGGACCAACGGAGAGGGCGAGGGAGACGGGGAAAGCUCCCUCGUAAUGGCACUGCCACCGACCAGCCAGGACCUGCUCCGGGCCACCCAGCUCCAUCAUUACGUGGAGGGCUUUCUGCUUCACGGGCUCUUGCCGGCCCAUGUCAUUCGGUUGCUGCUUAAGCCUCACGUCCAGGCCCAGCAGGAUUUGCAACUGCUGCUGGAGCUGCUGGAGAAGAUGGGACUCUGCUACUGCCUCAAUAAACCCAAGGGCAAGCCUCUGAAUGGGUCCACGGCCUGGUACAAGUUCCCCUGCUACGUGCAGAACGAGGUGCCCCAUGCAGAGGCCUGGAUUAACGGGACCAACCUGGCCGGGCAGUCUUUUGUGGCUGAGCAGUUGCAGAUUGAAUAUAGUUUUCCCUUUACCUUCCCACCUGGGUUGUUUGCACGCUACAGCGUCCAGAUCAACAGCCACGUGGUGCAGAGGUCGGACGGGAAACUUCAGAUCUUUGCAUAUCGAGGGAAAGUUCCUGUGGUGGUGAGCUACAGACCCGCCAAGGGGGUCCUGCAGCCCGAUACCCUGUCCAUCGCCAGCCAUGCAUCAUUACCAAACAUAUGGACGGCAUGGCAAGCCAUAACCCCCUUGGUGGAAGAACUGAAUGUCUUACUUCAGGAAUGGCCUGGACUGCACUACACCGUGCACAUUCUCUGUUCUAAGUGCCUUAAGAGAGGGUCGCCCAAUCCACACGCUUUCCCGGUGGUGGUGCUGGGAAAAGAAGAGGUCACAGCCAGUCUGUUAAAGAAGUCUGUUUGGUGGGAGCUGCUGAGUCAGCCCAGACCUGAAGGAGUGGCCGAGAUCAUUUGCCCCAAGAACGGCAGUGAGCGAGUGAAUGUUGCCUUGGUUUACCCACCUACACCGACUGUGAUCAGCCCCUGUUCCAAUAUUAAGAACUAAACAGUGAAACCACUUUUCAACUGAGAUGAAAUGCAUUCUUACCACAAAACUUGUCUUCUUGGAGCAGAUCUGGUAUCUUGGGUGCUGUCACUUCAGCAAAGAAGAACGUUGGUGAAAAGCACAGAAACCAGUGACCUUUAUGGCUGUGGAAUUUCCGUGAAGAGACUCACCUGGACCAUGUUUCGUACCUGGUAACCCUCCACACUCCCCGUGUGUCGUGAACUUGAGCGCACGGCUCAGGGUGCUCUCAGAGGAGGGAGCCCGCCUGGCCUUCCCACGAGGUGGGGAGGGGCCGGGGGAGGUCGGGAGGGAGAAUAUGGAGCAAGUGUUUUACAACCUGAACCUCAGAACUGUGAUCCUCCAAGGAGAGCGCUACUUGAAGAAAAGAAAAGACAAAAAAAAAAGUCGAAUGGCUUCUCAGGGAUUUUGUUUUCUGUGCACAUAUAAGCCAUAGUUCCAGCGCAGGUGGCAGUAUUUAGAGCACUCAGAUUUCAGUUCUGUUCAAUGUGAACGAGGGCGCGCCUGACCAUUCAUUGCUGUUCCGCAACUAGUGUAAAAUAUGUACAUGUUUAUCUUUAUUUUUAUAAUAUGCAAAGACAUUUAAAUUUAUACAGUUGGAAGCUUCUAGCAUUAGUUAACACUGGGUGCAAUAUUCGCAUGAGAACUGUGCCAAGACGGGGCUGACUUCUUAUUUUAGCAUAAGACCUUUCUGUUCAUUCUUUACUCUGUAAUCCUUGGCAGAUUAAAAAACGAAAAAGAUACCUGUCUGCCCAUGGGGUAAGGGUUGGCUUGUAGAGGUUGCCAAUAGUCUGCAAGGUACACGCAGGCACCGACUCCUCUCCUUCUGACGAAAGGCCCUGCCUGUGAGCCGCUGGGCAGGGUGUGGGGUUGUUCCUUUUCGCUGCCACAUGUCACUACUGCCGAGCACAGUGUUCCUCGCUGACCGUUUGUGGUCACUGGUGAUGCACCGAUGGAGGUCUGGGGUUAGGGUUCUUUAGCAGGAGGCCGAAGCGUUAGUGAGUCCAUUGAAAACCUGAGUCUUUCUAUUAAAAAAAAAAAUUUUUUUUUAUUUCAGAGAGGAAGGGAGAGAGAGAAACAUCAAUGAUGCAACAGAAUCAUUGAUCUGAUCCUCCUGCAUGCCCCCUACUAGGGAUGAAGCCCACAACCCGGGCAUGUGCCCUGCUCGGGAGUAGAACCAUGACCUCCUGGUUCAUGGGUCGGUGCUCAACCACUGAGCCACACUGGCAGGGCCUGAGUCUUUCAACAGCUUAAGAUAAUCAGGAGUCAGUUCUGAAACACUCAGAGAACUCCCAGAGUGAGUGCUCUUUCUUCUAGGACAGAGUCUGUGAAAUUUAGCAGAGCACUUGGCAAGCCUCCACAUCUGGCUGUCAGGCCUUCAGAUAGUCAAUGGUCUAAUUGGAGAGCAUAAUCCCCCAUUGGUUAUUUAUAAAUACAGAGCCUCUGACUGGUCGGUCUUCUGCCAAGAACUAGGAAAACUUGUUUUAAAAUCUCCACAAAGCAAAACGUAAGAAGCAAACCAAACAAAUUGCUUUCCCUUCGAUUCCUAACUAGGGCCAAGCAGCAUCUCCUGCAGUAGUAACACCUUCUCGUCUGAGGGAUGUGAGGGACCAUUUACAUCUGCCUCCUCUGCGUGUUGAUCGAAAAUGUGUAAGACUGUUCUCACCCGUGUGAGGCAGGAAAAGUGAGUCCGCUGGUCGUAUUCUUUCAUAAAGUAUUAACUCUUGGAAUGCCACGGUCCACAAAGUGUCAACAAGCAAGUGGCUGCAUCACAAAAAAUCACGAAUCAAUUUUUGUAGACUAUUUUGUGCCCCAGGAGUUAACUUGACCAAUUCCAGAAUCUCCAGUUAAACAAGGGUGAUUUCUGAUGAUCAGAAAACCACGUGGAAUCAGACUGUCCAUUUUUAAAUACUUGAAUAUGACACCUCAAAAUUGAGAUUUUGCUCUCUUGAGAACAGUCACAAAAAUAGUCUGGUUGAGCCUUUUGUCACAGUUCUCGUGUGUGUGCAUGGGUGUGUGUGCGUGCGUGUCAACUGAAUGCUAAUGUUUAAUUGCUUUGUGGACCGUUGAAUCGUAAAAGUUUUUAAUUGGCACGAGACAGUUCCUAAAAUGUCAAAUUAACAGAUUUUUCCCGGUCUUUUGUAAAGACUCUUAAGUGUGUGACUUUGAGCUAAUUCUCCUGGGACCAUAUUAAAUGAAAAAAAAAAAAAAAAAUGCCCCUUUGGGUGACAUACCCUGAAGAGUGUGUGCUGUUAUUAUGAACAUAAAUGUCCACGUUCUUAAUAUCAGUUUUUCAACAAGUGAUGUUUUGUGCUGUCAUCCGAACCCUAGAGAAGCAGAGUAAGAAGAAAUCUUGGGGUCACAUGUGUUCAAGUAAAAAGACCAUGCAGUCGAGGGUCAUGUGACCGAAAGCAGCUCCAGAAAAGCUUGAGACGUUGGCCCAGGGUGGGGGAGGGGUGAAGAUACAGAAAACACUCUGCUCUCGGGAACUUGCACCCUCUGUGCAGGAAGUCCUUUCCUCCUUCCACACCUGGGAAGACUCAGCCAGCGGAGGCGACAGGUCCCUAAGCACACGGGGAGUCUUCCCGCCAGGUAGUCCCUGGCCCCCCAAAGAAACACCCUCCACGUUGGUUAUGGUUUCUAUCCCUGCAACUCGCAGUAUCAGAACCGCUUCCUGGAAUUGUAACGUGCUGCCAGGAUUAAUGUUCUUCCCCUUCUAAGAAAAAAUGACAGUGCUCAUAUUUGACACUUGUGUGAUGGACUCCUAUGACUGAAAAACAUGGAAAGGGCUUGGUGUCAUGCCUGAUGGGUGAUGGGAUGUGUGUUAUUUUUCAUGCCACAGUUUGUGAAUUGUAAUUGCGGUUUCCUAUUUAAUUGUAACCGGGCAGAAAUUAAAAAAAAAAAAAAAAGUUCAAUAAAAAUACAAAUGUUUAA